Molecule: long non-coding RNA, 1625 nt
Filed under: Mus musculus (house mouse)
Lineage: Eukaryota; Metazoa; Chordata; Mammalia; Rodentia; Muridae
Description: predicted gene, 35722 (Gm35722)
Source: RNAcentral
GAAUUAAAGUUGAACAAUCUCUGGACUCGGUGCCUCUGUGUGAUGCGAGGCUCUCCCUCUGAUGUGCUUUCCAGAAUCACUGCCGUCAAAUGCUAGAGAGGCAUUUCUUAAAGUUAAUCUCUCCCUUUGGCUCUCGUGAAAACAUCCAAGUGUUUCUUUCCUGUGAGUCACCAGCACAGGUCAAGUCAACUUAGGAGAGCACAGGCCACAGUAGCAGCAGAGCAGCUGGGACAGGCUCCUACAGUUCUGCAUCUGCAGCCAGAAGGUGGAGCUGAUUCUUAGUCCUCUGUACACCUUCUCUGCCACAGGAGAGCUUGGCUCCAGGAAGAGUCUGACCCGGGGACCUCAGCUCUAGCUGUUAAGAUCGUCCAAGGAUAUUUAAAUGAAGAAGGAAGAUAUACCCUGAAUGGAGAUCGAACUGUUUCCUGGACUGGAAGAAAGAAGAAAUGGGAAGAGAUUAAGCAGCUGCAUAGCAGGGUUCUCUGCUCUGGCUCAGGAUGCCAUGUGAUCAGCUGCCUUAUGUGCCUGCUGCUGUCUCUCCACAAUAAUGGUCUGUGUUUUUCUGAACUAUCAUCCAAAAUAUACCCUUCCUCUGCUGAGUUGCUUUUUUCAUGAAUUUCAAAACUGUGAUGAGAAAUGUGGCUAAUAUAAUAUCUACAUUAGCUAACUGGUUAUGCUAAAUAUGUUACUGCAAUAUGUGAUAUAAAUAAUAUGACUAUGACUGUACCAUCUCCAUUUUCUUAUGAUUAUCAAGUCAUUUUUUUAAAAAAACCUUUUGAAUAAUACACUUAAGUGUGAAAUACGCUGUUAUGUACAUUUGACCACCAUAAAAAAUACAUCAUUGAGUGUUAAUCAUAGAUGAGGUCAUCGGUGGGGUUGAGUGAGGGCAGAAUGGAAAAUCUCUAUGCCAUUCUCUCAAUUUUCCUAUUAACCUAAACACUAGAAAUAAGUAUAUUUUGUAAAGUAUAUUAUAAAAAUAAACAACCAGACCACUAGACCUGAGUCAUCUCCCAUUCUUCAACCCAUGCUCCCAGAGGCUAAGAGGAAGGGGGGAACUCCCACUGCUCUCUUGGCCCCAUUUCUUUUCUCUAACACCUUUCAGUUAGGAUAUUCACACGAACUUACAAGGAAUGAUGAACACCAAGGUGAGUUCUCGGAGUCCCAGAUAAAUUCAGAAGCGUAGAUUUAGAAUUGAGGUGUAUUAUUUAAAUUCUGCAGGUUAGCUGGAGAGAAUUGAUCUCGUGUUUCCACGGGUAUUGUCAGGAACUAUCAUCAUUUGCUUUGUUACUCUUCCAUAUGGGUGUUGUUAUCAAGUACAAGCUUCAACGUUGCUCCAACACUCAGAUCCAGAGGAUGCAGUGCCUCCUUUCAUGAACAUAUAUAUAUACACUACAUUACCGAUUGGUUCUAGGUAGAGGAGAGUAAAUCAGAUCAUGUAACUCACCUUUCCAACCACUUAGCUUUCUUCAAGUUGGGACUACAUUGCUAGUGCCUGGGUUUUACAGCAGAUCUCAGUCUAUCCUGUGCUACACGAGACACUCAAAUUCAUAUCAGCACUCCAUUAUGCACAGAAUUGUAUGAAGUCAUUGGGAUGAGUGUGGAUAAAAAACUAACUCCAAAUAAAU